GAUGAACGCUGGCGGCGUGCCUAAUACAUGCAAGUCGAGCGAACGGACGAGAAGCUUGCUUCUCUGAUGUUAGCGGCGGACGGGUGAGUAACACGUGGAUAACCUACCUAUAAGACUGGGAUAACUUCGGGAAACCGGAGCUAAUACCGGAUGAUAUUUUGAACCGCAUGGUUCAAAAGUGAAAGACGGUCUUGCUGUCACUUAUAGAUGGAUCCGCGCUGCAUUAGCUAGUUGGUAAGGUAACGGCUUACCAAGGCAACGAUGCAUAGCCGACCUGAGAGGGUGAUCGGCCACACUGGAACUGAGACACGGUCCAGACUCCUACGGGAGGCAGCGUAGGGAAUCCUCCGCAAUGGGCGAAAGCCUGACGGAGCAACGCCGCGUGAGUGAUGAAGGUCUUCGGAUCGUAAAACUCUGUUAUUAGGGAAGAACAUAUGUGUAAGUAACUGUGCACAUCUUGACGGUACCUAAUCAGAAAGCCACGGCUAACUACGUG
RNAcentral lists this ribosomal RNA (496 nucleotides) under uncultured bacterium. RNAcentral's name for it is "partial 16S ribosomal RNA". It matches the Rfam family "Bacterial small subunit ribosomal RNA", at positions 28 to 507 of the family's 1533-position model. The record is from RNAcentral.